AGUCUCUCGAAUCCUUAAAAAAAAAAAAAAAAAAAAAAAAAAAAAAAAAUUAUUGAUACAGUUUCUGU
This 68-nucleotide unclassified non-coding RNA is filed under the name Trypanosoma sp. Its description in RNAcentral is "partial trans-spliced leader sequence". The record is from RNAcentral. Lineage: Eukaryota; Euglenozoa; Kinetoplastea; Trypanosomatida; Trypanosomatidae.